RNAcentral lists this ribosomal RNA (253 nucleotides) under uncultured bacterium. RNAcentral's name for it is "partial 16S ribosomal RNA". It matches the Rfam family "Bacterial small subunit ribosomal RNA", at positions 524 to 776 of the family's 1533-position model. The record is from RNAcentral.
UACAGAGGUCUCAAGCGUUGUUCGGAUUCAUUGGGCGUAAAGGGUGCGUAGGCGGUGAGGUAAGUCAGGUGUGAAAUCUCGGGGCUCAACCCCGAAACUGCACUUGAUACUGCCUUGCUCGAGUACUGGAGAGGAGAUUGGAAUUUACGGUGUAGCAGUGAAAUGCGUAGAUAUCGUAAGGAAGACCAGUGGCGAAGGCGAAUCUCUGGACAGUUACUGACACUGAGGCACGAAAGCGUGGGGAGCGAACAGG